UAGGAAAAGUUAGUUGGCUGAAAACGCUA
RNAcentral lists this non-coding RNA (29 nucleotides) under Mus musculus (house mouse). The record is from RNAcentral. Lineage: Eukaryota; Metazoa; Chordata; Mammalia; Rodentia; Muridae.